RNAcentral lists this ribosomal RNA (1489 nucleotides) under Mycolicibacterium frederiksbergense. RNAcentral's name for it is "bacterial SSU rRNA". It matches the Rfam family "Bacterial small subunit ribosomal RNA". The record is from RNAcentral. Lineage: Bacteria; Bacillati; Actinomycetota; Actinomycetes; Mycobacteriales; Mycobacteriaceae.
UUGUUUGGAGAGUUUGAUUCUGGCUCAGGACGAACGCUGGCGGCGUGCUUAACACAUGCAAGUCGAACGGAAAGGCCCUUCGGGGUACUCGAGUGGCGAACGGGUGAGUAACACGUGGGUGAUCUGCCCUGCACUUUGGGAUAAGCCUGGGAAACUGGGUCUAAUACCGAAUAUGACCAUGCACUUCCUGGUGUGUGGUGGAAAGCUUUUGCGGUGUGGGAUGGGCCCGCGGCCUAUCAGCUUGUUGGUGGGGUAAUGGCCUACCAAGGCGACGACGGGUAGCCGGCCUGAGAGGGUGACCGGCCACACUGGGACUGAGAUACGGCCCAGACUCCUACGGGAGGCAGCAGUGGGGAAUAUUGCACAAUGGGCGCAAGCCUGAUGCAGCGACGCCGCGUGAGGGAUGACGGCCUUCGGGUUGUAAACCUCUUUCAGCACAGACGAAGCGCAAGUGACGGUAUGUGCAGAAGAAGGACCGGCCAACUACGUGCCAGCAGCCGCGGUAAUACGUAGGGUCCGAGCGUUGUCCGGAAUUACUGGGCGUAAAGAGCUCGUAGGUGGUUUGUCGCGUUGUUCGUGAAAACUCACAGCUUAACUGUGGGCGUGCGGGCGAUACGGGCAGACUUGAGUACUGCAGGGGAGACUGGAAUUCCUGGUGUAGCGGUGGAAUGCGCAGAUAUCAGGAGGAACACCGGUGGCGAAGGCGGGUCUCUGGGCAGUAACUGACGCUGAGGAGCGAAAGCGUGGGGAGCGAACAGGAUUAGAUACCCUGGUAGUCCACGCCGUAAACGGUGGGUACUAGGUGUGGGUUUCCUUCCUUGGGAUCCGUGCCGUAGCUAACGCAUUAAGUACCCCGCCUGGGGAGUACGGCCGCAAGGCUAAAACUCAAAGAAAUUGACGGGGGCCCGCACAAGCGGCGGAGCAUGUGGAUUAAUUCGAUGCAACGCGAAGAACCUUACCUGGGUUUGACAUGCACAGGACGAGGUGGUGCAUGGCUGUCGUCAGCUCGUGUCGUGAGAUGUUGGGUUAAGUCCCGCAACGAGCGCAACCCUUGUCCUAUGUUGCCAGCGGGUUAUGCCGGGGACUCGUAGGAGACUGCCGGGGUCAACUCGGAGGAAGGUGGGGAUGACGUCAAGUCAUCAUGCCCCUUAUGUCCAGGGCUUCACACAUGCUACAAUGGCCGGUACAAAGGGCUGCGAUGCCGUGAGGUGGAGCGAAUCCUUGUAAAGCCGGUCUCAGUUCGGAUCGGGGUCUGCAACUCGACCCCGUGAAGUCGGAGUCGCUAGUAAUCGCAGAUCAGCAACGCUGCGGUGAAUACGUUCCCGGGCCUUGUACACACCGCCCGUCACGUCAUGAAAGUCGGUAACACCCGAAGCCGGUGGCCUAACCCCUUGUGGGAGGGAGCCGUCGAAGGUGGGAUCGGCGAUUGGGACGAAGUCGUAACAAGGUAGCCGUACCGGAAGGUGCGGCUGGAUCACCUCCUUUCUAA